This 98-nucleotide ribosomal RNA is filed under the name Orobdella ijimai. Its description in RNAcentral is "partial 16S ribosomal RNA". Lineage: Eukaryota; Metazoa; Annelida; Clitellata; Hirudinida; Orobdellidae. The record is from RNAcentral.
UAUAUAAUAUAAUAUUUUAUGUAACUACAAAUGUCAGAAUUCUUUUUUAUCCUUAGUAUAGUAAUAGAAAUAAUUUAAAUAUUAAAAAGUAAUAAUAU